This 256-nucleotide ribosomal RNA is filed under the name uncultured bacterium. RNAcentral's name for it is "partial 16S ribosomal RNA". It matches the Rfam family "Bacterial small subunit ribosomal RNA", at positions 524 to 776 of the family's 1533-position model. The record is from RNAcentral.
UACGUGAGGGGGCAAGCGUUGUCCGGAUUUAUUGGGCGUAAAGGAGCGUGUAGGCGGCCACACAGGUCAGCUAUGAAAACUCGAGGCUCAACCUCGAGACGUCGGUUGAAACCGUAUGGCUAGAGUCCGGAAGAGGAGAGUGGAAUUCCCGGUGUAGCGGUGAAAUGCGCAGAUAUCGGGAAGAACACCCGUGGCGAAGGCGAUCAUCUGGGGUUGUUCGUGACGCUGAGGAGCGAAAGCUAGGGGAGCAAACGGG